RNAcentral lists this ribosomal RNA (253 nucleotides) under uncultured bacterium. RNAcentral describes it as "partial 16S ribosomal RNA". It matches the Rfam family "Bacterial small subunit ribosomal RNA", at positions 524 to 776 of the family's 1533-position model. The record is from RNAcentral.
UACAGAGGGGGCAAGCGUUGUUCGGAAUUACUGGGCGUAAAGGGCGCGUAGGCGGCCCGCUAAGUCGAACGUGAAAUCCCCGAGCUCAACUCGGGAACUGCGUCCGAUACUGGCGGGCUUGAAUCCGGGAGAGGGAUGCGGAAUUCCAGGUGUAGCGGUGAAAUGCGUAGAUAUCUGGAGGAACACCGGUGGCGAAGGCGGCAUCCUGGACCGGUAUUGACGCUGAGGCGCGAAAGCUAGGGGAGCAAACGGG